Molecule: ribosomal RNA, 253 nt
Filed under: uncultured bacterium
Lineage: Bacteria
Description: partial 16S ribosomal RNA
Rfam family: Bacterial small subunit ribosomal RNA
Source: RNAcentral
GACAGAGGUCUCGAGCGUUAGGCGGAAUCACUGGGCUUAAAGCGUGUGUAGGCGGAUGCCUAAGUGCCUUGUGAAAUCCCACGGCUCAACCGUGGAACUGCUGGGCAUACUGGGCGUCUUGAGCCACUUAGGGGCGACCGGAACAAACGGUGGAGCGGUGAAAUGCGUAGAUAUCGUUUGGAACGCCGAUGGUGAAAACAGGUCGCUGGGAGUGUGCUGACGCUGAGACACGAAAGCCAGGGGAGCAAACGGG